UCCUACGGGAGGCAGCAGUGGGGAAUAUUGCACAAUGGGCGCAAGCCUGAUGCAGCCAUGCCGCGUGUAUGAAGAAGGCCUUCGGGUUGUAAAGUACUUUCAGCGGGGAGGAAGGUGUUGAGGUUAAUAACCUCAGCAAUUGACGUUACCCGCAGAAGAAGCACCGGCUAACUCCGUGCCAGCAGCCGCGGUAA
Molecule: ribosomal RNA, 194 nt
Filed under: uncultured bacterium
Lineage: Bacteria
Description: partial 16S ribosomal RNA
Rfam family: Bacterial small subunit ribosomal RNA
Source: RNAcentral